CUGGGCUCCACGGAGGGGCUCCAGACCGGGAGGACCCAGCGCCAAACCCUUUCCUCUUGCAGAAAACACCAGGGCACAGGGCAGGCUUUACCUGGUUCUCUUCACCCAGAAAAGGCUGCUCAGAAUUCUUUCCUUUCUCUGUCAUUGCAUCACACAUUCUCAGAAAAAUGGAUUAAUCCCUCUUGCUUCCUCCAUGAAACCUUUUUCUCCACACCCAUGGGGUCAGCCCCCCUCCCUCUCCACCUUCCUCUGGCUCACAUGUCAUAUUGAACUGAGCCCUAAUUAUUCCGUGCAUCACUACUUAGGCUCCCCUUUUGAAAUCAGGAAGCACAACUUCCAUUUCCCAGCACUGCACACCCAGCAAGAUCUCAAACAGCACUUGAGGACAAACUGCAAAAACUGCUGUGCUCUCAGCACCCUGAACUUGACAACCAAGCAUCAUAUACACUCUUCAGGACUUGAGGACAAGUUGCAAAAGCUGUCAUGCUCCCAGCACCCCGAGCUUGACAACAAGGCUUCAUAUAUACUCUUCAGGUGAGAUUCAGCCCACUUCACAGAUGAAGAAAACUGAGACCCAAAACUCCCAACAGGCUUUCACUUUUCUGUGCAAACAGACGCACGAGAAUCUCAGUCCCAGGUAAGAAACCCCACAUCCGGACCCCCAUCCAUUUCUCAUCUUCCUCCUCCUCCUCACUGCUAGCAACAUUUGGUGCCUUUCCUGGGAUGAAAAACCCCGUUGGAGGUGGGUUUUCUUCUUAAAUUGUUAUUUUCUCAAGAAUUCUCAUGUAGAUAUAUAUGAUGGAACAUUACUCAGCCAUUAAAAAGAAUGAAAUCAUGCCAUUUUCAGUAACAUGGAGAGUGUCAUACUGAGUGAAGGAAGUCAGAGGAGUAGAAAUAUCAUAUUAUAUCCCUUAUAUGUGGAAUCUAAAAGGAAAUGAUACAAAUGAAUUUAUUUACAGAACAGAGACAGACUCAGACUCAGAGAAUGAACUUAUGGUUACCAAACGGGGA
RNAcentral lists this long non-coding RNA (1011 nucleotides) under Bos mutus (wild yak). Its description in RNAcentral is "lncRNA (ENSBMUG00000014354.1)". The record is from RNAcentral. Lineage: Eukaryota; Metazoa; Chordata; Mammalia; Artiodactyla; Bovidae.